AUGAACACUAGCGACAGGCUUAACACAUGCAAGUCGAGGGGUAACAGGGUAGCAAUACCGCUGACGACCGGCGCACGGGUGAGUAACGCGUAUGCAACCUGCCUAGUAACUGGGGAAUAGCUCCCUGAAAGGGGAAUUAACACCGCAUAACACUAUUGAUUCGCAUGGAUUGGUAGUUAAAUGUAGCGAUACAGGUUAUAGAUGGGCAUGCGUGACAUUAGCUAGUUGGUGAGGUAACGGCCCACCAAGGCUACGAUGUCUAGGGGUUCUGAGAGGAAGGUCCCCCACACUGGUACUGAGACACGGACCAGACUCCUACGGGAGGCAGCAGUGAGGAAUAUUGGUCAAUGGGCGCAAGCCUGAACCAGCCAUGUCGCGUGCAGGAAGACUGCCCUAUGGGUUGUAAACUGCUUUUAUAGUAGAAGAAACACAUCUACGCGUAGAUGUCUGCCAGUAUACUAUGAAUAAGCAUCGGCUAACUCCGUGCCAGCCGCAGC
Molecule: ribosomal RNA, 497 nt
Filed under: uncultured bacterium
Lineage: Bacteria
Description: bacterial SSU rRNA
Rfam family: Bacterial small subunit ribosomal RNA
Source: RNAcentral